AGUCUGGUGUCAGCCGCCGCGGUAAUACCAGCUCCUCGAGUGGUUGGGACGAUUAUUGGGUCUAAAGCGUCCGUAGCCGGCUGGAAAAGUUCUCCGUAAAAUCCAACGAUCCAAUCGUUGGCCCGCGGGGAAUACUUUCCGGCUUGGGGGCGGGGGAGGUCGGCGGUAGUCCCGGGGUAGGGGCGAAAAACGUCGAAAGACGAAUCGCAGUCUUAUAAUCCCGGGAGGACCACCAGUGGCGAAGGCGGCCGACUAAAACGCGCCCGACGGUGAGGGACGAAAGCUGGGGGAGCGAACGGGAUUAGAUACCCCGGUAGUCCCAGCUGUAAACGAUGCAGGCUAGGUGUUAGGACGGGUACGGCCCGUUCUAGUGCCGCAGGGAAGCCAUUAAGCCUGCCACCUGGGGAGUACGGCCGCAAGGCUGAAUUCUCGAACAGGCCAAAACCGCGCCUGGCGAGACAGCUGACUUAAAGGAAUUGGCGGGGGAGCACCACAAGGGGUGAAGCUUGCGGUUUAAUUGGAGUCAACACCGGGAACCUUACCAGGGGCGACAGCUGGAUGAAGGUCAGAUUAAAGGUCUUACCGGACUAGCUGAGAGGAGGUGCAUGGCCGUCGCCAGUUCGUGCCGUGAGGUGUUCUCUUAAGUGAGAAAACGAACGAGACCCGUGCCUUUAGUUGCCAUCGUAUUCCCUCGGGAAUGCAGGCACACUAGAGGGACUGCCUCCGCUAAGGGGGAGGAAGGAGCGGGCCACGGCAGGUCAGUAUGCCCCGGAUCCCCUGGGCCACACGCGAGCUGCAAUGGCUGGGACAAUGGGCUCCGACCCCGAAAGGGGAAGGUAAUCCCUAAACCCAGCCUCAGUUGGGAUUGAGGGCUGCAACCCGCCCUCAUGAACAUGGAAUCCCUAGUAACCGUGUGUCAUCAUCGCACGGUGAAUACGUCCCUGCUCCUUGCACACACCGCCCGUCGCUCCACCCGAAUUUGGUUUUGGCGAGAUGUAGCCUUGUUGGUUACCUCGAGCCGAAGUUAGGUAAGGGGGGAGAAGUCGUAACAAGGUGGCCGUAGGGGAACCUGCGGCCGGAUCACCUCCU
This 1089-nucleotide ribosomal RNA is filed under the name Candidatus Bathyarchaeota archaeon. RNAcentral describes it as "bacterial SSU rRNA". It matches the Rfam family "Archaeal small subunit ribosomal RNA", at positions 449 to 1478 of the family's 1478-position model. Lineage: Archaea; Thermoproteati; Candidatus Bathyarchaeota. The record is from RNAcentral.